GAACUAAGCUGGAUAAGAGGGAGACAUUUUUGUGCAGAGAUGGAAGGAAAGAAGGAAAUGGGGGAGGGUUGCUUUUCAAGGGUAUUCAGAUUCUUUUUUUUUUUAAAUAAACAUCCUUCUUAUAGGAAUGUUCAUUUUUUAAACAUCCUGACAUCCCAUCCUGACACUACACAGCCUGAUUAGCACUCCAUCAGAAGCCCUCUUCAUGUUCCUAGAUUCUGCUUACAGCAGGGGUGAGGAGAAUCAGUUCAGGGAUUACCUCUUCCUUAUCCAAAGGAAUGAUUGUGACAGACAAUUUGAAUAAUCCUUGGGGUCAAAGGUUGCAGGUGACAGGGAUUUGGGAACUUCUAACUUGGAAUCUCCCUGUGCUCUUCCUUAGUAAACGUACGUAUGGAGGCUCGGCCUGAGGAACAGGUUUGCAUGAAACCAUUUUGCAUUGCUGUACAAAGUGCAGCGGUGCGUCAUGCGUGUCUUCCUCCAACACUGCACCCACGAGGUCAGAAAGCAGAAAUGCUGAUGAAUCAUGUUUGCGCUGGCAACCUCCUACUCAAGUUCCUUCCCAAACCUCCCUUCAGAUCAUCGCAGUGCCUUUUGGCACACAGGUGGGACAGCUGGGACCUGCCACGGUGCUUUUCUCUGCUCCUGGUGACAUCUACUGGCAGAACUAUCUCAGCUUUGGCAUUUGCUGCUGCAGAAGGCUAG
Molecule: long non-coding RNA, 702 nt
Filed under: Anser brachyrhynchus (Pink-footed goose)
Lineage: Eukaryota; Metazoa; Chordata; Aves; Anseriformes; Anatidae
Description: lncRNA (ENSABRG00000009785.1)
Source: RNAcentral